GUUUGAUCCUGGCUCAGAAUCAACGCUGGCGGCGUGCCUAACACAUGCAAGUCGCACGAGAAAGGGACUUCGGUCUUGAGUACAGUGGCGCACGGGUGAGUAACACGUGAAUAAUCUACCUCCGAGUGGGGAAUAACUGAGAGAAAUCUUAGCUAAUACCGCAUAACACUUACGAGUCAAAGCAGCAAUGCGCUUGGAGAGGAGUUCGCGGCCGAUUAGUUAGUUGGCGGGGUAAUGGCCCACCAAGACGAUGAUCUGUAUCCGGCCUGAGAGGGCGCACGGACACACUGGAACUGAAACACGGUCCAGACUCCUACGGGAGGCAGCAGUGGGGAAUUUUGCGCAAUGGGGGAAACCCUGACGCAGCAACGCCGCGUGGAGGAUGAAAUCUCUUGGUAUGUAAA
Molecule: ribosomal RNA, 404 nt
Filed under: uncultured bacterium
Lineage: Bacteria
Description: bacterial SSU rRNA
Rfam family: Bacterial small subunit ribosomal RNA
Source: RNAcentral